Molecule: ribosomal RNA, 511 nt
Filed under: Tenodera sinensis (Chinese praying mantis)
Lineage: Eukaryota; Metazoa; Arthropoda; Insecta; Mantodea; Mantidae
Description: partial large subunit ribosomal RNA
Rfam family: Bacterial large subunit ribosomal RNA
Source: RNAcentral
GGUUUCUUGUAAUUAUUUAGGAGAUCUGACCUGCCCACUGAAAAUAUUUUGAAGGGCCGCAGUAUUUUGACUGUGCAAAGGUAGCAUAAUCAUUAGUCUUUUAAUUGAAGGCUGGUAUGAAUGGUUGGAUGAGGUAAAUUCUGUUUUAUGUUAAUUGAUGUUGAAUUUAGAUUUUAAGUAAAAAUACUUAAAUGUUAUUAAGGGACGAGAAGACCCUAUAGAGUUUAAUAAAUAUAAUAAUUAAUUGAGUUAAAGUUUAAUUUUUGGUUUUUAUGUAAUUUAUUUAGUUGGGGUGAUUGGAAGAUAAAAUAAACUCUUCUUUAUAUUCAAUAAAUUAAUUAGUUAUAUGAUCCAUAUUUAAUGAUUAAAAGAUUAAAUUACCUUAGGGAUAACAGCAUAAUUCUUUUUAAGAGUUCAUAUCGAAAAAAGAGAUUGUGACCUCGAUGUUGGAUUAAGAUUAGUUAUGGGUGCAGAUGUUCAAUAACUAGGUCUGUUCGACCUUGAAAAUCUU